Molecule: RNA transcript, 3025 nt
Organism: Musa acuminata AAA Group (dessert banana)
Lineage: Eukaryota; Viridiplantae; Streptophyta; Magnoliopsida; Zingiberales; Musaceae
Gene name: F-box/kelch-repeat protein At5g15710-like
Exons: 3
Source: RefSeq, a predicted model, not a curated record
UUUAUAGUUCGGUCUUCGUGAACCCCGCUCGGUCCAUCGAGGAAUAGAGGAAAGCUUCUCCGUCGCGAGACGGACAUGGCGUCCGCCUUCGAGUGGGAUCGGCUCCCCCACGACCUCCAACGCUCUAUCCUUCUCCGCCUUCCCAUCUCCACGCUCCUCCUCUGCAAGUCCCUCUCGCGAGCCUUCCUCGACACCAUCGGCUCCCCCACGUUCCUCGACGCCUACUCCUCCCUCCGCCGCGGGCGUCGCUCCCGCCACCGCGACGACCUGUUCCUCCUCCUCUUCGCCGACUGCAGUCGCCACGGCCUGGCCGCUGCUUACCUCCCCUCCCGCGCCUGCUGGCUUCCCCUCCCCCUCCCCCCUUUGCUUAACCACAUCCACGCCUCCGACGGCAGCCUCGUCGUCGCCGCCACCGGGAAGAACUCUGGCGAAGAUGUCGUCUGCGAUAUCUUUUCCCGUACCGUAAUCCCGAUCCUUCCCCGGAUGCCCCAUUCCUACAUCCUCUCUCUGAUUGACGACGAGGCCUCGUCCGAUUUCAGGAUCGUGGCCGUCGGCAGCCAGAAGCCCGUUGGGAACGCCCUUAAUGCCGUCUACGUUUCCUCCCAGGUUUACGAUUCCCGUUCUGGCCGAUGGCAGCCCAAGGGGCAACUGCCGGGGCACUACGCCAUGCUCGGCAACGCGGUUUUCCUGGAUGGCUUGUUGUUCGUUCUCGGCCGCCUCCCUGAUCAUCUACUCACAUUCGAUCUGGACAGCGGGGAAUGGAACGUCGUAGAUGUGGCUCUGCCGCCUCCUGUGUUUUGCUUGCAUUUGUUGGUAUUCGAGGGGAGGCUGUUCUUGGUUGGAGGUCUGGAAGAGGACGUGGUAAUUGCGAGAAUUGGAAUUUGGGAGCUCGAUUUAACUAAAUCGGAGAAGGAAUGGCGACUCUUCUGCUUUAUGCCCGAUGAUUAUUUUCAGGAAUUCAGCGUCAAUGAGCUUGUUCAUUUUCAGACCAUCGACCGAUUUGGGAUUGUUUGCUUUUGCAACACCAGAGAGUCUGUUGUUUUAGUGUGUGAUCUAUCAUCAAAAACAUGGUGGUGGCCGCCCGCAUUUGGGGUGAUUCCUAAGCGCAGAAGAUCUUGGCUCGGGCAUGCUUUGGAUCUACCUAUGGGAUUGCUGAAGUGAUUAAUAGAAGACCGUUGCUGCACGCGAAAUGUCAUCCAUCUCAGCACCUUCGAACUACUCGGGUGGCACCAUGGGGGAUAGAGCUUCGGUAUAGUGUCGAGCGUUGAACAAUCUUUACAAGUUCUCACGUUAACUUGAUAGGAACUUACCUUCGCCCCCGACACCCGGUUCUUUGGGAUCUGAGUAAGGUUGCAAAUUGGCUGACCCUUUGCGGAUCCAUAUCGUAAGGAUGCUUCACGACUUAGGCAACUCAAGCUAAGUCCGUGACUAUGCUGCAAGGGUGCCUCACGACUUAGGCAAUUCCAGCUAAGUCCGUGACACCAAGCUGUAAUUAUCAUAAAGAUUUCAGAAUUGUUUUUCUUUUGUAGCAAACCCUUUGAGUGGUAUGAGUUAAACCAGCUGCUAAGCUAUUCUACUUGUUGCCUGGCUGAGAUGUGUUUAAAAGAAUAUACUCAUUAAAGGUUGUAUAUUAUUGUUCUCAACUACAGCUUUUAUUUACAAGUAAAACUUCUCUUCGAGUUUCCAAGGUAGUAUUAAUAAUUUAAAAUUUCCAUUAUUUCCUAUGAAAAAUGACAUUUUUGGACUGCUCAUUGUUCUCUUUCUCUAUAUUGUUUCCCUGCUAUCUUCCUGAAGUUUAAAUUUAGUCUCUGCUGUUGUAGGAUCAAUGUAACAAGAAAUGUAGGAUCACAUUUAGUAUACAUAAAGGUUUCAUAAGUUGAACAUUCCAAGUCUUUGGAAAGUUUGACUUAUUUAUAUUUAGGUAAUUACAAGUUGUAUUUCCAAUUUGCCAUGAGAAGUGCCACAACUUCAUUGCAUCAACUUAGAUAAAUAAAAAACAUUAAAAAAUCUUCAAGAGCAAUAUUUGUACCUUGACAUUAAAGAGGUCAAGUGUUUCUCGUUUUAGCCUUACCAGCAGCCUUAAGUCUAAUGUUCUUGGAACAUGAAAUUGAACUUGUAACACUGCCUGCGAGAAUAUUUCCAUAUUGAAUUUUCAUGUAAUGCAGUUCUUCCUUUUUUAAUUUUGGGUCAGAACAUCUUCGAUGCAUUGCAGGAUAUCUAGGGGUUAAAGGUGUUCUAUUUGUUUUCCUCUUGUAUUUGUUAGUUUUCUUUCAAUAACUAUGCAUAAGUGCAACUAGAAUCAGAGCCUGGAAAUGUCAUGUGUUUAGAAAUAAAUUCCCAUGAGAUCAGUCCAUUCAGGUUUCCUACUUUGUUUCAUAACUAAAGCAUCAAAUUCACAUGCCAAGUAGAAUUUUUGCUAAAUAUCAUUUUAGAUAUGGCUUGAGCAGGUUAAUCCUUGUUGAUAUGCUUUUAAAGUGCUUAUUGUCUGAUCUGACAUUAUUCAUGGGAUCAUUCCCUAAUCUUUUUUUUUCGUUCUCAUCAUUUUAGUCUACUUCUUCUGCUCCAAAGCCAUGUUCCUCUUUGUACAUUACCUGGGUCCAUUCUCUCAUUCAUUAUUAAUAAAACCGUAUUUGCUUUUUGACUUAAUCGCUGCUUUCAUUAUUAUUUUAUUUUCAGCCCCAAAAGUUUAGCCAUCCGAUUUACAUGUUUUCAUGUCACAUAUAUUUCAGGGUACAUAUGGUCAGAAUUCAAGCAUUUUUCUUUCUGCCAUUGAGGUGUGCUGACAAUGCUCAAAGUUGGUGCAGAGGAACAGAGUGGAAUUUGUAGAGGGGAUGGUGAAAUGUUCACUUGCUGCAAUCACCAUAUGAAAAGCUACUUGUGGCUUGAUUUCCAGCAACUAAAUGGCAUUUAUUUCCACAAAACUGAGGAAUAUUCUUACAUAGCAAUGAACAAGUUUAGUGUGAUACUAAUUCAGAUCCAGAUUGAGUUUUAUAUAUGGUACCUACUCUCUGGGUUUAUUUUCAGA